GUGCCAGCAGCCGCGGUAAUACAGAGGGUGCGAGCGUUAAUCGGAAUUACUGGGCGUAAAGGGCGCGUAGGCGGUUAUAUGAGUGUGAUGUGAAAGCCCCGGGCUUAACCUGGGAAGUGCAUCGCAAACGAUAUGACUGGAGUAUAUGAGAGGGUGGCGGAAUUUCCGGUGUAGCGGUGAAAUGCGUAGAGAUCGGAAGGAACGUCGAUGGCGAAGGCAGCCACCUGGCAUAAUACUGACGCUGAGGCGCGAAAGCGUGGGGAGCGAACAGGAUUAGAUACCCUCGUAGUCC
RNAcentral lists this ribosomal RNA (292 nucleotides) under uncultured bacterium. RNAcentral describes it as "partial 16S ribosomal RNA". It matches the Rfam family "Bacterial small subunit ribosomal RNA", at positions 505 to 796 of the family's 1533-position model. The record is from RNAcentral.